This 912-nucleotide ribosomal RNA is filed under the name uncultured archaeon. RNAcentral's name for it is "bacterial SSU rRNA". It matches the Rfam family "Archaeal small subunit ribosomal RNA", at positions 23 to 922 of the family's 1478-position model. The record is from RNAcentral.
GCUACUGCCAUCAGAGUUCGAUUAAGCCAUGUUAGUCGAGGGUUCCUCUUCUUCUUCGGAGGAUGAGGUAACCCGGCGGACGGCUCAGUAACGCGUGGAUAACUUGCCCUUGGGUCUGGGAUAACCCCUGGGAAACUGGGGCUAAUACCGGAUAGAGCAUCAAUCGCUGGAAUGCCUGAUGCUCGAAAACUACGGUGCCCAAGGAUAGGUCUGCGGCUGAUUAGGUUGUUGUUGAUGUAAUGGACCAACAAGCCUACGAUCGGUACGGGUUGUGAGAGCAAUAGCCCGGAGAUGGGUUCUGAGAAAAGAACCCAGGUCCUACGGGACGCAUCAGGCGCGAAAACUUUACAAUGUGCGAAAGCACGAUAAGGGAACUCUGAGUGCCCCCUAAGGGGGCUGUUCUAGUGUCUAAAAAGCAAUAGAAGUAAGGGCUGGGCAAGACCGGUGCCAGCCGCCGCGGUAACACCGGCAGCCCAAGUGGUAGCCACGUUUAUUGGGUCUAAAGCGUUCGUAGCCGGCUUGGUAAGUUCCUUGGUAAAUUUAGCCGCUUAACGGUUAAGCUUUCAGGGAAUACUGCUUGGCUUGGGACUGGGAGAGGUCAGAGGUACUCCAGGGGUAGGGGUGAAAUCCAUUAAUCCUUGGGGGACCACCGGUAGCGAAGGCGUCUGACCAGACCAGCUCCGACGGUGAGGGACGAAGGCUAGGGGCGCGAACCGGAUUAGAUACCCGGGUAGUCCUAGCUGUAAACGAUGCGGGCUAGGUGUUGGCAUUACUGCGAGUGGUGCCAGUGCCGAAGGGAAGCCGUUAAGCUCGCCAUCUGGGGAGUACGGUCGCAAGGCUUAAACUUAAAGGAAUUGGCGGGGGAGCACCACAACGGGUGGAGCCUGCGGUUCAAUUGGAGUCAACGCCGGA